UCCUCUUCGCCGUCUUCAUCUGAGUGUGACUGUUCUUCUGCACCAUACCAGCUAGGGAAUGAAUAGUUCCGGUUCUAGUUCAUCUUCCUGGAGACGGAGAGGAUCAAGUUUGCUCAACCUCUGCACGGCGGUGUUCACGCCAUUCAUCGCUCUGGUUAGGGCUUUCUUCUUGUUCGCCUCUCUCGUAACUCCCCUUUUUCGGUUAAUGAAAUCGAGGCACUGUAUGAGCUUUACAAGAAGCUGAGCAGUUCAGUGUUUGAUGAUGGCCGCAUACAUAAGGUAUUCCUGGAACAUUUGCUUAAGAACAACUGCAAUGUAUGAUAUAGUGAUGCUUUGGGCAUUUUGGAGAGAUUUGAAUGAAAUGCUUAUGACUGGCUUCAAUGCUGAAGUUUAUAGUUUGCUG
Ipomoea nil (Japanese morning glory) is the source of this 403-nucleotide long non-coding RNA. RefSeq lists it as uncharacterized. The record is from RefSeq and is a predicted model, not a curated record. The transcript has 3 exons. Lineage: Eukaryota; Viridiplantae; Streptophyta; Magnoliopsida; Solanales; Convolvulaceae.